AUUGAACGCUGGCGGUAGGCCUAACACAUGCAAGUCGAACGGCAGCACAGUAAGAGCUUGCUCUUACGGGUGGCGAGUGGCGGACGGGUGAGGAAUACAUCGGAAUCUACUUUGUCGUGGGUGAUAACGUAGGGAAACUUACGCUAAUACCGCAUACGACCUACGGGUGAAAGCAGGGGAUCUUCGGACCUUGCGCGAUUGAAUGAGCCGAUGUCGGAUUAGCUAGUUGGCGGGGUAAAGGCCCACCAAGGCGACGAUCCGUAGCUGGUCUGAGAGGAUGAUCAGCCACACUGGAACUGAGACACGGUCCAGACUCCUACGGGAGGCAGCAGUGGGGAAUAUUGGACAAUGGGCGAAAGCCUGAUCCAGCCAUACCGCGUGAGUGAAGAAGGCCCUCGGAUUGUAAAGCCCUUUUAUUGGGGAAGAAAAGCAGCAGGUUAAUACCCCGCUGUUCUGACGGUACCCAAAGAAUAAGCACCGGCUAACUUCGUG
RNAcentral lists this ribosomal RNA (492 nucleotides) under uncultured bacterium. Its description in RNAcentral is "partial 16S ribosomal RNA". It matches the Rfam family "Bacterial small subunit ribosomal RNA", at positions 30 to 507 of the family's 1533-position model. The record is from RNAcentral.